GGAGGGUGCAAGCGUUGUUCGGAAUUAUUGGGCGUAAAGCGCGUGUAGGCGGUUUGUUAAGUCUGGUGUGAAAGCCCUGGGCUCAACCUGGGAAGUGCAUUGGAUACUGGCAAACUUGAGUACGGGAGAGGAUAGUGGAAUUUCGAGUGUAGGGGUGAAAUCCGUAGAUAUUCGAAGGAACACCGGUGGCGAAGGCGGCUAUCUGGACCGAUACUGACGCUGAGACGCGAAAGCGUGGGGAGCAAACAGGAUUAGAUACCCUGGUAGUCCACGCCGUAAACGAUGGGCACUAGGUGUUGCGGGUAUUGACCCCUGCAGUGCCGAAGCUAACGCAUUAAGUGCCCCGCCUGGGGAGUACGGUCGCAAGACUA
This 371-nucleotide ribosomal RNA is filed under the name uncultured bacterium. RNAcentral describes it as "bacterial SSU rRNA". It matches the Rfam family "Bacterial small subunit ribosomal RNA", at positions 527 to 896 of the family's 1533-position model. The record is from RNAcentral.